GAGCAGGAUGGAGGCGCACACAUGCUGCAGCGACACGCACACCACAAACAAACGCGCAUGCGCAUCGCCGAGUGAAGCUCUCUCACACAGACAGUAGCUGCAGCCUCUCCCAUGUGUCUUUUUGCCCUGGGAGGGAGUUGAACCGUUCGCGUGGAGACGGACGGAGCGAACGGAUCUCAUGGAGGAAAAGCAGAGACGAGGAGACAAACAGAGACACACUGGAGGACGCUGAGACGCCGAGGACGAUGUGGAUUCGAACCGUCCGCGCUCUGGAAUCUUUUUAACUCAAGUCCCGGGGAGAGAGGAGAGACCGGGAGAGCGACGGAGGAGAGGGUCAGGAGCGGAAACUGGGGGUUGUUUUUUUUUGUUUUGUGGUCGGAGGCAAAUGGAGAGGAGACCGUAAGAGAGACGGUUUCACCAUCUUCACAGGAAACUAACGGCCGAAAGGACUCCCCCCACUGACAACUCACCCGUUCGUCCCUCACCGCUGCAGCGGCGCAGACCAAUGAGGAUGGACGUGGGACCCACGGCGGGGACACUGGUCCUGCUCCUGCUGAUCCCCGUUGGGCUG
Molecule: long non-coding RNA, 571 nt
Organism: Cynoglossus semilaevis (tongue sole)
Lineage: Eukaryota; Metazoa; Chordata; Actinopteri; Pleuronectiformes; Cynoglossidae
Exons: 3
Source: RefSeq, a predicted model, not a curated record